ACCAUUCCUUGCCAUGGGUGACACAACUAGGACCCCUUUUCCUCUUCUGCUUCUACCACAAGAAAUCAUCAGCAUUACUCUUCGACAAAUGUGCCUCAUUGAGCAACGACUUUUUCAAUUUCUUCGCAGAUGUAAAGCUAAAUUUCGCUCACAAUCCCGUUGGUUUUCGCAACUUCUUCGCAAGAAAUACGAUUCUCGAUCUCUCUACUCUCAGCAAAAGCGAAAACUGCGGUUGCCAGAGUCAACGGGAACCACGAAAGUGUGUCAUUCUCUGAUUCGACAAUCAGGCUGAGGUCCAGUCUCAAUGACAGAUAUUGUCCAGCAAGUGAUGUCGUAGCGGAUAACAUCACGGUUAUCCGGCCAGAACCGCUGCCCAAGACAACGACUAGGCCUGCCAACGUUUGGAGGUCACGAUGCAAGCGCGCCCCACCGGACGGCGCGCGGAUCUGAAUUGCCGGCGCCAACUCUAAUUGUCAUCAUUCUCGACUUUUCUUGGCCCCGCCCAAUUCCCCUAUAUAAGGAGCCGGAAACGCUCAUUCUAGGUCUUCUCUAAUUCCUUUUACUUGUGUUACUUAUCGUCCUUUUCCCCUCCUUACAUGUCCCAUUAACUCGGUGAUUUCUCUAUUAAUUUAUCCUUAAUAAACCGUAAUAACCUCAAAACCUCCAACUCUUAUUAUUCUUUAAAGAAUUAAUUUGGAAGAAACCCCAAAAUAACAGCUUCAAGUUGACUCCCAAACCUUAUGUUAUUUCAGAUUCUCGAUCUCGCUACUCUCAGCAAAAGCGAAAACUGCGGUUGCCAGAGUCAACGGGAACCACGAAAGUUUGACAUUCUCUGAUUCGACAAUCAGGCUGAGGUCCAGUCUCAAUGACAGAUAUUUAUUCAUAUUUAAAGAAAAUCCACCGAGGGUGGUAGCUAGAAGGAAUAUGCGAGGAUCUGAAGACGAAAUCGAGAUUCCUCACCUCACACUUAUCAAGUUCCUGGACCACAUCCACGAGGUUUUGCAUCAGAACCGGCAAAUCCACAUUAACCUCGAAAAUGGGAUGAAUGAAGAGAUAAAAACGAUUUGUUCUCUCUUUGAGAACAGGAAGAUCGCGAGCUGCAGCACCACAUCCACGGAAGUUCAGGGGCACCAUCUCUUCGGGACUCAUCCAGAGAACCUGGAGAUUGUCGUGGUCCCAAUAAGAAAAGAACUCUUGGUUCAAAAUUAUGAGGAGCUGAAAGUCACCAAUCUCACACUGAACGAGGUGUUCUUGUCAAAUAGUCGAACGCUUCGUUCAUUGCACCACUCAAUGACUGCAAAGGAUGUCAACUUGUUCUUGAAGAUCUGGAUUCAGAACUCACAGCUGAGAAUCAGUGAUCUUGUUGUAGAUGGUCUGAAUAUUGAGCAUCCUGUACAUGGAACUAUUCUCCGCGGAAUAGACUUUACUAGAUACGAAGAUCCUCUGGUCGUGGAUGAUGGAAUGGUUCAACACGUCCAAAUUGUGUGCAAAAGAGGGAUCAAGGCAAAGGUUUCCCUCACCAGAACUACUGUUCGAUUCGUCCGGCUGGCCGACGAUGAGUAA
Molecule: RNA transcript, 1563 nt
Organism: Caenorhabditis elegans
Lineage: Eukaryota; Metazoa; Nematoda; Chromadorea; Rhabditida; Rhabditidae
Gene: W08F4.12
Gene name: Non-coding transcript of protein-coding gene W08F4.12d
Exons: 4
Source: RefSeq, marked reviewed